This 821-nucleotide ribosomal RNA is filed under the name uncultured bacterium. Its description in RNAcentral is "bacterial SSU rRNA". It matches the Rfam family "Bacterial small subunit ribosomal RNA", at positions 627 to 1447 of the family's 1533-position model. The record is from RNAcentral.
UGGAAACUNUCUGACUUGAGUGCAGAAGGGGAGAGUGGAAUNCCAUGUGUAGCGGUGAAAUGCGUAGAUAUAUGGAGGAACACCAGUGGCGAAAGCGGCUCUCUGGUCUGUCACUGACGCUGAGGCUCGAAAGCGUGGGUAGCGAACAGGAUUAGAUACCCUGGUAGUNCACGCCGUAAACGAUGAGUGCUAGGUGUUAGGCCCUUUCCGGGGCUUAGUGCCGGAGCUAACGCAAUAAGCACUCCGCCUGGGGAGUACGACCGCAAGGUUGAAACUCAAAGGAAUUGACGGGGGCCCGCACAAGCGGUGGAGCAUGUGGUUUAAUUCGAAGCAACGCGAAGAACCUUACCAAGUCUUGACAUCCCGAUGCUAUUCUUAGAGAUAGGAAGUUACUUCGGUACAUCGGAGACAGGUGGUGCAUGGUUGUCGUCAGCUCGUGUCGUGAGAUGUUGGGUUAAGUCCCGCAACGAGCGCAACCCUUAUUGUUAGUUGCCAUCAUUAAGUUGGGCACUCUAGCGAGACUGCCGGUAAUAAACCGGAGGAAGGUGGGGAUGACGUCAAAUCAUCAUGCCCCUUAUGACCUGGGCUACACACGUGCUACAAUGGUCGGUACAACGAGUUGCGAGCCGGUGACGGCAAGCUAAUCUCUGAAAGCCGAUCUCAGUUCGGAUUGGAGGCUGCAACUCGCCUCCAUGAAGUCGGAAUCGCUAGUAAUCGCGGAUCAGCACGCCGCGGUGAAUACGUUCCCGGGCCUUGUACACACCGCCCGUCACACCACGAGAGUUUGUAACACCCGAAGUCGGUGAGGUANCCUUUUAGGG